Molecule: long non-coding RNA, 2263 nt
Organism: Lotus japonicus
Lineage: Eukaryota; Viridiplantae; Streptophyta; Magnoliopsida; Fabales; Fabaceae
Exons: 3
Source: RefSeq, a predicted model, not a curated record
GCUGCAAGUGCUCACCAAUACCAUUGUUGAUCCGAUCAUAUCUAAUUUCUUCUACUAAACUGAAAUUAGCCAAGUUGAUAAAAAGCCUCUUUAGGUCCUCUUAAUUUCGACCCUGCUAAGACAUUAUUUCUCCUCUUUUUCUUUCUUAGCCGUUUUAACCCAGUUGUACGUACCCAAAGAAUUUGGUGGAUCUUGCUGGAAGAUUGAAGGAAGCUAGGCAGCCACAUUAACCAAAGUUUAUUGACUCUUACACACCAGUCAUCGGGAAGCAAAGAUACUCGAAAGACAAAAAAUGGAAGCUUCUAGUAGUCUGGACACGAGGCCUUAUGUGGUGGCAAGGUUGAAUGGCUGGUAAGACCAACCGGAGGAUUAAUUCAGGAGGGAUUUUCACAUGAGCAAGAAAACCAUCGAAAACCUUCUAAAUGAUCUGUGUUUCUCUCGAACCUACUCUAACAAAGAAAAGGAACACAAGGAUAAAUGUCACGGUUCAACAUCAGGUUGUGGUCACCAUAUGGUGACUUGCAACCGCCAGCAAAUACCAUAAAAUAUUAGAGAGUUUGAGAUAGUCGUCAGCAGCUGCAGAUCCGCAAUACAUGGUGUCAUAUCCGCCAUGAUCAAAAUCUCGGUGCCGAAUUGGUUAUGUUCGCCCGACCAGUUUAUGAUGCACAUAACCAAAGAGAGGUUCCUGAGAGAGUCGGGAUUUCAAAACGUGGUUGCCAUAAUGUACACCACCCACAUGUCCAUCUUUCCACCCACUGGCACAUGACAUCUUUUCUACAACCGGGGCCACAUUGAGAUGGAGAGAUACCCAAGAGAUAGAAAAUGGAAGCUUCUAGUGGUCACGACAGUUACACGAGGUCUUAUGUGGUGGCAAGGUCAAACGAGUGGUGACAGUAGUCGGUGGAUUAGUUUCGAAGGGAGUUUCGCAUGAGCAAGCAGACCUUCAAAAUGAUUUGCAUUAAUCUCGAAACUACCUUAGCAAAGAAGAUGAUCACAAGGAUAAAUAUCACUGAUAAGUAGUAAGUUGCGGUCACCAUAUGGCGGCUCGCAACUGCAGCCACAUUCCGCCAAAUAUCACAGUAGUUUGGGAUAACCGUCAUCAACUGCAGAUCAACGAUACAAGAUGUUAUCUCUGCCAUCAUCAAAGUCCUGGCGCCGAAUUGGGUCUUUUGGCUCGACCGGUGCAUGAUGAACAUAACCAAAGAGAGGUUCCUGAGGGAGUCGGGAAUUCCAAAUGUGGGUGCAGUAAUGUACACCACGCACGUGCCCAUGUUUCCACCCAGCAUUAGAGCGAAUAUGUUCUACAACCAAAAGCACACCGAGAGGGUGUGGGAAGCCACGGGGAGGAGUCGUGUAUACAAAUUCCCAACCACUAUUUAGGUAGUGGUUGAUCAUAGAGGGCUUUUCACCGAGUUGUGCGUCGGGUUUCCUAUUCGUUGCACCCAUGAUCAUAUUCUGGAGCAGAGUGGUUUGUAUGGGUGGAACUUAAGGGAUGUUUGGAUCGUUGGGACUUCCGGACAUCCCCUCUUAGAUUGGGUUCUGACUCCAUACACACAUGGAAACUAGACUCCACAACAGCAGAAUUUCAAUGAAAAACUUUGCAUUAUUCAAGAUAUUGCCAAGAAUGCAUUUCAAAAGUUGAAGAGGAGGUGGGGUGUGUUUCAGAAGGAAUCAAGGCUUGAGGUCAAGAAUUUGGAUGAGGAAUUCAGAGCCUGUUGUGUUCUCCACAUAUUUGCGAGGUGAGGCACGAGCCGAUGUAUCUGGAGUGGAACUACAAGCAACCCUUCAAAAUGAUCUGCAUUAAUCUCGAAACUACCUUAGCAAAGAAGAUGAGAACUAGGAUAAAUAUCACAGUUGAGAAGCAGGUUGCAGUCACCAUAUGGAGACUCGCAACCGCUGCCACAUGCCGUCAAAUAUCAGAUAGGUUUGGGCUUGUUGUCAGCAGUUGCAGAUCGGCAAUACAGGAUGUCAUUGUUGAAAGAUUUUUUACCACUCUACGUUGAAUCUCUCAAGACUCAAUUGUAGUAUAGUAAAGGGUUUUGUCGUAUCCACAGGGAGGUGUAAUACUUAUGCCGUUCAAUAGCUAACAGACUUAAAUGAUGGUUUACAAAUAUAUUGGGUGUUUGUUUAAAAACAUAAAAACAUAAAUAAAGAAGAUAAAAGAGUUGGAUUCACCAAGGUAGAUAGUUUUGCUGAGAUUAGAGUUUCGUUGUCUGACCUCUAUGUAUUCUAUUGAUUCACAUACAAAUAUAGUUCUAUGAAA